This is a non-coding RNA of Echinostoma caproni, 73 nucleotides long. NCBI's taxonomy places the organism in Eukaryota, Metazoa, Platyhelminthes, Trematoda, Plagiorchiida, Echinostomatidae. The record is from Rfam.
GCCCGGAUAGCUCAGUCGGUAGAGCGUUAGACUCUUAAUCUGACGGUCCAGGGUUCGAGCCCCUGUUCGGGCG